AUACUUACCUGGCACAGGAGAUAACAUGAUCAAGAAGUUGGUUUUCCCCAAGUGAUGCUCAUCCAUUGCAUUCUGAGUGUUCUGACCCCUGUGAUUUCUCAAAAUGCAGGAAACGCAACUGCAUAAUUUAUGGUAGUGGGGGGCUGUAUUCGUACUUUGUAUGU
Molecule: small nuclear RNA, 164 nt
Organism: Nannospalax galili (Upper Galilee mountains blind mole rat)
Lineage: Eukaryota; Metazoa; Chordata; Mammalia; Rodentia; Spalacidae
Gene: U1
Rfam family: U1 spliceosomal RNA
About the family: U1 is a small nuclear RNA (snRNA) component of the spliceosome (involved in pre-mRNA splicing). Its 5' end forms complementary base pairs with the 5' splice junction, thus defining the 5' donor site of an intron.
Source: Ensembl